Mytilus californianus (California mussel) is the source of this 2548-nucleotide long non-coding RNA. RefSeq lists it as uncharacterized. NCBI's taxonomy places the organism in Eukaryota, Metazoa, Mollusca, Bivalvia, Mytilida, Mytilidae. The record is from RefSeq and is a predicted model, not a curated record. The transcript is spliced from 5 exons.
UUGAAGUUUAUUGAAAUCGACAUGAUCUACCUAUUAAAUACCUAGUUGAUGGCAGUCACAUAUAGAGUAAUUGUACCAGUAAAAACAAGCUUUCACAAAUAGUCAGUCAAGCGGUUUUUUUCAUAAAACACUCAGAUAACGUUUAAUUUAAACUUAUUGACGGCAGAUUAUAGGUAAAACUGUUGAAAUUUUUCUCUGUACCAAGGACAUAAAAUAUAAUAACAUCUGAAAAGUGCGAUACAAUACAAUUCAGAGAGUGAACGCGGAUUCUCCGAUCAAAGAUAGAUGAUUACAUAGCUUCACGUGGAUUAAUCGAACUGCACUAAGUAAUAAUUACAUCAAUUUAUAAACAUGAAAGAUAAAGUAGGGGAAUGUAUGCAGAAGAUAAAUUGAAGAAAACGUAGAAUGGAUUUGAUAUCUGAAUUGAACACGGGUCGUCGUCGGAGCAUCGUGGAUGCUAUCGAGGACCCAGUCCCUAGACCAGACUCAUCUGCAAUGAAUAAAGGAGUUCCGAAAGGUUCUGAUAUCUUUCAGGAAGCUUUAACUUUAGCUUAUGAUGAUAUGAGAAAGAAAAAGAAACUUGAAAAAAGUAAGAGUGAACAAUAUGAAUCCGACGAGGAUUUUAGUGAUGAAGAAAGAGAUGUUGUGAGAGAUAUAGACACAUUCAGGAAAUUUUCUAUGGAUUAUUCUGCUAAAAGAAAUGCAGGUCACCCAAGGAUAUCUCGUGUUGAAGUGAGCCCUCGGAAUCGUAUAUUUUCAGACAGCUCUGUUACUAGUGUAAACAAUGAGAAAAAACUUUCAAGGAGGCAUAGUAUUGCAACAAUACCUUUCCAGGAAUCUAAAAAUAACAACCGAAAAUAAGAGACGUUAUUUUUCGGUCGAAACUUGAUGUUUUAUAGAUGUCUUGAGAUGGAGAUGGAUAUGUGUGACAAUUGUGUCCAAUAGGGCCUCUUUCUUGUCAGCGAUUUGUUUAUUUUAAAAAAUCUAUACAGUAUUGUUAUAAAUGUUGUAUUUGAAUAUAUUAAUAUUUACUGGAGAUUUCGUCCAAGCAUUUUAUCCAGACAGUAAGUAAAUUAGGACGUGUGAUAUAAACUUUAAACAUUUACUUAUUUAUACACUUUUAUAUUUAUUGUUUUAUAUAUCCAUUAAAUGUAUAGGGACGGCUUUGGUUUUAAUUAUUAAGAGUCCUUGAAUCAAAACUAGGUGACCAGCAAGUUAUAUGCUAUACAAUUGGAACAGCUUUGGCUAUCAAACAACCCAUUAGCAUUCAAAACCAUAGACAAGGGAACCAACUUUUGGGUAGGGACCAGCACAAAUUAUGGAAAGAGUUCAACUACCCCCUUAUCCUCUGUUAAUCUGCCUGUAUUCCAAACUGUUUUAAUAGAAUGUUUAAAAGAUGUGAUAUAGUAAUCAGUCUAUCUAAAACAAUAUUGUUACGUGUGUGUUUAUAUGAAAAGUUUUGAAACAAGACACCUAGUUUUCUAAAUCGAUUGGUUUGUUUACAAGAUCAUAUACCGAAUUUUAUUUUUGUGUGUAGUUUUUAACAAAGAAAACGCCUAGUUUUAUCCCAUAUCAAUAACAUUAGUGUAGUUGUUAACACUUUGACUUCAGAGAUCUUUUCAUAUUUUUUUCUCUUCAGCAGUAGAUGAAUGCAGCUAUAUCUUCCUUGAUUUUGGAACUUUUGAAGAACAGCUUCUGGUUGGUUAACUUGUUUAGACCCAAGCACAUGGAUCUCCUAUGAGCCACCAACAGUUUGAGUGUCCACCACCACACACGUAUGAACUAGUGGGACAUUUAGAGCAGUCACAAGUAUAACAACGCACAGUAGCAUUAAGCAUUCAGGCAGAUCCAGGAUUUCCCUCGACAUUUGUUAAACUGUAGGAGGUGCCGUCUUGACUGGAUUUAGCUACAACAGUAGAUGAAUGCAGCUAUAUCUUCCUUUGAUUUUGGAACUUUUGAAGAACAGCUUCUGGUUGGUUAACUUGUUUGGACCCAAGUACAUAGAUCUCUGCCACCAACAGUUUGAGUGUUCACCACCACCACACACGUAUGAACUAGUGGGACAUUUAGAGCAGUCACAAGUAUAACAAUGCACAGUAGCAUUAAGCAUUCAGGCAGAUCCAGGAUUUCCCUCGACAUUUGUUAUACUGUAGGAGGUGCCGUCUUGACUGGUUUUAGCUACAAGUGAGAACUUCUCAGCAUCUAGCCUGCUCCAUUGUAUAUUAAAUGAACUUAGCUGACUGUUUGAAGACUAAGUCUCAUGAUUUAUACCCUUGUUAUGGGGUAUGCUUCUUUGCAUAUGUAAUUCUUAUAAGAUUUUUUUUUUAAUUAAAAAAUUAAUUAUAAUUAACUUUUUUUCAGCAAAAUUUUUUUUAACUAGAUUUCUAUACAAAUAAUGAAUUUAUCUAUCAUGUGCAAUUUACAGAAUGUAAAUAUCUUUUAAAAUAAAAAAGUUUUGCUGAUUUUAAGAAUAUUUUCUUCAUGAAUUUAUGAUUUUAUCCGAUCAAUUUUCUGGUAUUUGAGAUGUCAUAGAUAAGGAUCAAUAACU